CGUAGGUUCCGCAGCUUUGCUGUGCUCUUUCCAUUUUGCCUGGUACUGCAUUGAAGGCCAUCUGCACAUUGGGCAAAGCACAACGAGGCCCAAUUAUCCUGGAGCGCACUGGCUCGAGAUGCAGAGAAAGACGUACACUUCAUCUGCUUCACAUGCAAAAAAAAUCACAAAGAGUCUCAUGAAGAUUACAUGCGAUACGCGCUUCUGCAAGAGAUGCGAUGACCAUCCUGUGUAGAAGACUCUCUACGAUGCCCGCUAGGGAGCUAGCUAUACAUUGGAGCGUUGCACUGCAGAUAGCGUGAACCUGUUGCUGUGAACGCUGAGGAAGUGCUGGAUUGUAAAGGCGCGGUCAGUUUUUCACCUGCACUUGACUCACUCUCAGUUCUAUGUUGGCCUCCCGUUGCGGGUGGUAACCUUCAGUUUUCACUUUCAAGAUUUGAAUUACUUUCCUUUCAGUCUCUAUCGCAAAUGAACAGUGCACUGGCGCGUUAAAGCAAGACGUUUUUCUUUCCCUUCGCCGGCCUCACUUCCACCAUUUUUCUGUUUGCUCACUACCCCGUGCGUGUUCAAAGUAUAGACGCAAAAGCCUGGCUCAGUUGUCUGCAUCAACAGAAUUUCCCUUGUAACCAGUCUCAAUGUGAAAGAAGACAAAGUGCAAACGCCCCGAAACCUGUUGGACGUACGAGUUUAGCGACUUUACUUAUAAAUAUUGAGUAGAGAUACUACACCAGGAAAAAGACAAAAGAUGCUUUCGUGACAUGCACUACGGAUACUCUUCUGCUGCUUUUUGCUCCUGAUGUCGGAGGACACCUCAGUGCGUGGCACCGGUGCCCAGUACCAUACUCUAUGCGGGAAGACAGGCAGCUCUUCUAUCCCAGUCAGUGCACAGCCACUUCUAGUGGUGACGGCAUCAGGCACCUAGGGCGUGGUGAUGUCAGAGCGAUGCAGCGCUACUAAUGCCGGCGGUCAGAUGGUGGAUAGCGUUGCGUUGGCGUCAUCUGCGGCAGUGGGCACGCUUGUUCCAUCCAUUUGAUGGGCAGAGCGUCAGCGUGACCCGAACACCACCCACCCGACUCUCAAGCUGUCUGCUCGUUUGGGGAGUCUGAGUGCCACCCCGAGGGGGAUGCACCACGUAGCGACCUGCGAGGCGGCUCGGUGGCGUUUGAGACAGGGGCCGUGCUGAGAUGAUUGCGUUGACGCGUUGCUGUCCCGCGUCUCCACAGAUGCUUUGCACCAGCUGAUGGGGCUUGUGACACAGUCGGGUGGCGUGGCGCUCAACUCAUGUUGUACCGCCGAAUGAACACUUUGUUGAGGAUCUCUCUUUCACGUAUCAGCUACUUUCCCUCACCCUGUACCCCUUUCUCUUAUACUUACAACACACGCCGAAACACAUCCUCAG
RNAcentral lists this unclassified non-coding RNA (1399 nucleotides) under Leishmania donovani. Its description in RNAcentral is "gene:unknown". Lineage: Eukaryota; Euglenozoa; Kinetoplastea; Trypanosomatida; Trypanosomatidae. The record is from RNAcentral.